Molecule: transfer RNA, 73 nt
Filed under: Collinsella sp.
Lineage: Bacteria; Bacillati; Actinomycetota; Coriobacteriia; Coriobacteriales; Coriobacteriaceae
Description: tRNA-Ala
Rfam family: tRNA
About the family: Transfer RNA (tRNA) molecules are approximately 80 nucleotides in length. Their secondary structure includes four short double-helical elements and three loops (D, anti-codon, and T loops).
Source: RNAcentral
GGGGGCGUAGCUCAGCUGGGAGAGCGCUUGACUGGCAGUCAAGAGGUCAGGGGUUCGAUCCCCCUUGUCUCCA